AGACAGAAACGUAAGAUGAGUGAUCAAGAAGGCUCAUGGCCUAGAGUAGUAACCUCCAUUGCACUGAGGAGGGGUGCUGCUCUAAGGUCUCCCCAAGUGGGAGAGCCUACGCCAUAAUUUGUUGCAGAGGGGGCUUGCGUUCGUGCAGCCCCCAC
Molecule: small nuclear RNA, 155 nt
Organism: Hibiscus syriacus
Lineage: Eukaryota; Viridiplantae; Streptophyta; Magnoliopsida; Malvales; Malvaceae
Product: U1 spliceosomal RNA
Exons: 1
Source: RefSeq, a predicted model, not a curated record